GAUGAACGCUGGCGGCGUGCUUAACACAUGCAAGUCGAACGGAAAGGCCCAAGCUUGCUUGGGUACUCGAGUGGCGAACGGGUGAGUAACACGUGGGUGAUCUGCCCUGCACUUCGGGAUAAGCCUGGGAAACUGGGUCUAAUACCGGAUAGGACCACUUCUUGGAUGUUGUGGUGGAAAGUUUUUUCGGUGUGGGAUGAGCUCGCGGCCUAUCAGCUUGUUGGUGGGGUAAUGGCCUACCAAGGCGUCGACGGGUAGCCGGCCUGAGAGGGUGUACGGCCACAUUGGGACUGAGAUACGGCCCAGACUCCUACGGGAGGCAGCAGUGGGGAAUAUUGCACAAGGGGCGCAAGCCUGAUGCAGCGACGCCGCGUGGGGGAUGACGGCCUUCGGGUUGUAAACUCCGUUCGCUAGGGACGAAGCGUUUUGUGACGGUACCUGGAGAAGAAGCACCGGCUAACUACGUG
Molecule: ribosomal RNA, 467 nt
Filed under: uncultured bacterium
Lineage: Bacteria
Description: partial 16S ribosomal RNA
Rfam family: Bacterial small subunit ribosomal RNA
Source: RNAcentral